RNAcentral lists this ribosomal RNA (253 nucleotides) under uncultured bacterium. RNAcentral's name for it is "partial 16S ribosomal RNA". It matches the Rfam family "Bacterial small subunit ribosomal RNA", at positions 524 to 776 of the family's 1533-position model. The record is from RNAcentral.
UACGUAGGGUGCGAGCGUUGUCCGGAAUUAUUGGGCGUAAAGGGCUCGUAGGCGGUUUGUCACGUCGGGAGUGAAAACUCGGGGCUUAACCCCGAGCCUGCUUCCGAUACGGGCAGACUGGAGGUAUGCAGGGGAGAACGGAAUUCCUGGUGUAGCGGUGAAAUGCGCAGAUAUCAGGAGGAACACCGGUGGCGAAGGCGGUUCUCUGGGCAUGUCCUGACGCUGAGGAGCGAAAGUGUGGGGAGCGAACAGG